RNAcentral lists this ribosomal RNA (254 nucleotides) under Bauldia sp. RNAcentral's name for it is "partial 16S ribosomal RNA". It matches the Rfam family "Bacterial small subunit ribosomal RNA", at positions 524 to 776 of the family's 1533-position model. RNAcentral also lists the same sequence under 4 other names. Lineage: Bacteria; Pseudomonadati; Pseudomonadota; Alphaproteobacteria; Hyphomicrobiales; Kaistiaceae. The record is from RNAcentral.
UACGAAGGGGGCUAGCGUUGUUCGGAAUCACUGGGCGUAAAGCGCGUGUAGGCGGAUCGUUAAGUCGGGGGUGAAAUCCUGAGGCUCAACCUCAGAACUGCCUUCGAUACUGGCGAUCUUAGAGUCCGGGAGAGGUGAGUGGAACUCCUAGUGUAGAGGUGAAAUUCGUAGAUAUUAGGAAGAACACCAGUGGCGAAGGCGGCUCACUGGCCCGGUACUGACGCUGAUAUGCGAAAGCGUGGGGAGCAAACAGG